Molecule: non-coding RNA, 54 nt
Organism: Salmo salar (Atlantic salmon)
Lineage: Eukaryota; Metazoa; Chordata; Actinopteri; Salmoniformes; Salmonidae
Source: Rfam
UGCAUUCACUACUGUAAAUCGCUCUGGAUAAGAGCGUCUGCUAAAUGACUAAAA